CUGUCGGAUAUUUUCAGGGAUCAUUUCUAUAGUGUGUGACUGGAGAAGUGAGAUCGAAAGUGUAAAAAGACGCAAACCUCGAGGAGGGGUGAGAGUGUUCUCUUCUGAGCAUCAAGCCAGCCCGUGGUGCCUCUUUGAUCAGCUGCCGCCCGCCCUUGAUGACCAUUCCUCUUCUCUUCGGGGAAGGCUGGAGGGAGCGAACACAAACUGAGUGGU
Molecule: small nucleolar RNA, 216 nt
Organism: Tachyglossus aculeatus (Australian echidna)
Lineage: Eukaryota; Metazoa; Chordata; Mammalia; Monotremata; Tachyglossidae
Product: small nucleolar RNA U3
Exons: 1
Source: RefSeq, a predicted model, not a curated record